CUCUAGGUGCCCAGAUGGGACUCCCCUGCUGCAACGUGGCCAUGACUGGUCAGCAAAGGGCCGGGGUCUUCCAAGGCCGAGCUGUCGGGACCAAGCCUGACUUCAUCAGUGGGGAAGGUGGGGGGAGUGUGACUCAGAGCCACCAUCGGGGCUCUUUUUUUUUUAGAUGUUAUUUUUUUAAUAAAUAGAAGCCACACCACUUCGUCUGUUACAGCAAAUGAGAGGCAAGAAUCGAAGAGGGCCCCAGAAAGCAUUUUCAUCCACAAAAAUAACAGAAAGGACAAGCAUCUUCACCACCCAUGCCUCUGGUUAGUUCUUUCGACUGCUGUUCCCCUACCCACAUCAGUAUGUUGUUUCCAGGAUGGGACUGUCUUCGAGUCUUCUACUGGUUGGGACGCUAGUCUAUCAGCUUGCCUUAACCACAGAAUGGAAGUCUCUAACUUAGCUGAGAAACCUGGACAGGUCUUCUUUGAUUUCAGCCUCAUCCCAAGGCCCAUGAAUGUUUUCUUUAAAAACCUGCAGGCGAAGAGGUAGAAAGGGUGGAGACAAGAGAUGGAAACCAGCAGAAGGGCAAAGAGGAUGGCUCCCACAGCACCAAUGGACAGUAAACCUCCCAAGGCUGAAAAUGCGAAAAGCAACGUGACUCCCACAUAGCUGCAUGGAGUACGUGCCUUCAGUUUCUUCUCUAACAUGGGCCACAGGGCAAAAAUCUGGAUGGCAAAUGUCACCAUGAUGAAAGCAUGCAGGGACCAGGCCAACACCAUCGGGGGCCCUUGGGCUUUCCGUCCACGAGUGAAAAUCAGCCUGGAGAAAAUCGGUACGAUGCUGCGGUGGGAGAAAUUCAGCGCGCUUAGCUGUCCCACUCCUCUGGCUGCUACUGUGUUAAGGACCUGGUGCCAUCUGAGAGUCUGUGCCAUUUGCAUCAUCUGGAGGGAGAGGAGAACCGGGGGCACUGCAGCUGGGGUCUUGGUGUGCCUGCAGUGGGCCGGCUGCAUGGCCUGCACCCGCACUUGCUGGACGAGUGAA
RNAcentral lists this long non-coding RNA (1026 nucleotides) under Canis lupus familiaris (dog). Its description in RNAcentral is "lncRNA (ENSCAFG00845007727.1)". The record is from RNAcentral. Lineage: Eukaryota; Metazoa; Chordata; Mammalia; Carnivora; Canidae.